UACGAAGGGGGCUAGCGUUGUUCGGAUUUACUGGGCGUAAAGCGCACGUAGGCGGAUCGAUCAGUCAGGGGUGAAAUCCCAGGGCUCAACCCUGGAACUGCCUUUGAUACUGUCGAUCUGGAGUAUGGAAGAGGUGAGUGGAAUUCCGAGUGUAGAGGUGAAAAUUCGUAGAUAUUCGGAGGAACACCAGUGGCGAAGGCGGCUCACUGGUCCAUUACUGACGCUGAGGUGCGAAAAGCGUGGGGAGCAAACAGGG
RNAcentral lists this ribosomal RNA (256 nucleotides) under uncultured bacterium. Its description in RNAcentral is "partial 16S ribosomal RNA". It matches the Rfam family "Bacterial small subunit ribosomal RNA", at positions 524 to 777 of the family's 1533-position model. The record is from RNAcentral.